UGGAACGCCAUGCCUGCAUAUGA
This 23-nucleotide non-coding RNA is filed under the name Arabidopsis thaliana (thale cress). Lineage: Eukaryota; Viridiplantae; Streptophyta; Magnoliopsida; Brassicales; Brassicaceae. The record is from RNAcentral.